GGGAGUGAUCGGCUUCGAAAAGGGAGCUAUUUUAUAAAAACCAAGUCGAGGAUGCUUUCCUGCCCUCGUAAAUCUCGGGAAGCAACCUGUUAAAUGCAAAUUUUACAGCUAGAUUGAGAAGCGCUUUUGCGUCAUUCUCAUUCGCACCAGCUUUAGCUUAACGCUUUAGCUCAUCGGUCUCUUGAUUCUCGAUAGGGAGUCAACCGGUGUCAACCAUCGAGAGCUGUUUGCUGGAUUGUUUGGGGCCGGCAAAUUGCAAUUAUCUCAAGCUAGAAUUCGGAGUUUUUUAUCCGCUUUACAUCUGAAUUUCAAUCUAAAAACGGAUUAAACUUGUAGAGUUUUUAUAAAACAAUCUCUUCAACGCGGGUUCGAUUCCCGCCACUUCCACCA
This 390-nucleotide transfer-messenger RNA is filed under the name Candidatus Azambacteria bacterium RIFCSPLOWO2_01_FULL_37_9. It matches the Rfam family "transfer-messenger RNA". From Rfam's summary of the family: Bacterial tmRNA, also known as 10Sa RNA or SsrA, is named for its dual tRNA and mRNA-like properties. Its role is to liberate the mRNA from a stalled ribosome. Lineage: Bacteria; Candidatus Azamiibacteriota. The record is from RNAcentral. RNAcentral also lists the same sequence under 1 other name.